ACUCUGUGUAGGUUGUGUUGUGUGCCCUGGUGUGUUAGUCUCCGUCUUGGGCUGUGGAGUGUCCUUCGGUGUCUGGGUGUGGUGAGUAGAGGUGUGUGUCACAAGGUACAGACCUUUGUGUGUGACAAAGCCCAUCGUGUGUCUGUGUGUGUCUUUAUCCACGUGGAUGGACGUCUCUUUCUUGCUCUGCCCCAAGACACACCCUAGCCCCUCCUUAUUCUCAAAAGGGGGAGCUGGGGAGCCUCCCCCUACCCUGGGGCCUCCCCUGCCCCUCCCCGCCCUGCCUGGCCGUCACCACUCCCCAGAGGGCACAGGGCUCUGCUGUGCCUCAGAGCAAAAGUCCCAGAGCCAGCAGAGCAGGCUGACGACCUGCAAGCCACAGUGGCUGCCCUGUGCGUGCUGCGAGGUGGGGGACCCUGGGCAGGAAGCUGGCUGAGCCCCAAGACCCCGGGGGCCAUGGGCGGGGAUCUGGUGCUUGGCCUGGGGGCCUUGAGACGCCGAAAGCGCUUGCUGGAGCAGGAGAAGUCUCUGGCCGGCUGGGCGCUGGUGCUGGCGGGAACUGGCAUUGGACUCAUGGUGCUGCAUGCAGAGAUGCUGUGGUUCGGGGGGUGCUCGUGGGCGCUCUACCUGUUCCUGGUUAAAUGCAUGAUCAGCAUUUCCACCUUCUUACUCCUCUGCCUCAUCGUGGCCUUUCAUGCCAAAGAGGUCCAGCUGUUCAUGACCGACAACGGGCUGCGGGACUGGCGCGUGGCGCUGACCGGGCGGCAGGCGGCGCAGAUCGUGCUGGAGCUGGUGGUGUGUGGGCUGCACCCGGCGCCCGUGCGGGGCCCGCCGUGCGUGCAGGAUUUAGGGGCGCCGCUGACCUCCCCGCAGCCCUGGCCGGGAUUCCUGGGCCAAGGGGAAGCGCUGCUGUCCCUGGCCAUGCUGCUGCGUCUCUACCUGGUGCCCCGCGCCGUGCUCCUGCGCAGCGGCGUCCUGCUCAACGCUUCCUACCGCAGCAUCGGCGCUCUCAAUCAAGUCCGCUUCCGCCACUGGUUCGUGGCCAAGCUUUACAUGAACACGCACCCUGGCCGCCUGCUGCUCGGCCUCACGCUUGGCCUCUGGCUGACCACCGCCUGGGUGCUGUCCGUGGCCGAGAGGCAGGCUGUUAAUGCCACUGGGCACCUUUCAGACACACUUUGGCUGAUCCCCAUCACAUUCCUGACCAUUGGCUAUGGUGACGUGGUGCCGGGCACCAUGUGGGGCAAGAUCGUCUGCCUGUGCACUGGAGUCAUGGGUGUCUGCUGCACAGCCCUGCUGGUGGCCGUGGUGGCCCGGAAGCUGGAGUUUAACAAGGCAGAGAAGCACGUGCACAACUUCAUGAUGGAUAUCCAGUAUACCAAAGAGAUGAAGGAGUCCGCUGCCCGAGUGCUACAAGAAGCCUGGAUGUUCUACAAACAUACUCGCAGGAAGGAGUCUCAUGCUGCCCGCAGGCAUCAGCGCAAGCUGCUGGCCGCCAUCAACGCGUGAGGGCCGCUUUGUAUGCACACGUGUCCAUGUGCACCCAUGUCCAAGUCACCUCUCUGCGCGGCUGUGUGUGUGCGUGUCCAUGCCUGUCCAGCUUCCGCCAGGUGCGGCUGAAACACCGGAAGCUCCGGGAACAAGUGAACUCCAUGGUGGACAUCUCCAAGAUGCACAUGAUCCUGUAUGACCUGCAGCAGAAUCUGAGCAGCUCACACCGGGCCCUGGAGAAACAGAUGGACACGCUGGCGGGGAAGCUGGAUGCCCUGACUGAGCUGCUUAGCACUGCCCUGGGGCCGAGGCAGCUUCCAGAACCCAGCCAGCAGUCCACGUAGCUGGACCCACGAGGAGGAACCAGGCUACUUUCCCCAGUACUGAGGUGGUGGACAUCGUCUCUGCCACUCCUGACCCAGCCCUGAACAAAGCACCUCAAGUGCAAGGACCAAAGGGGGCCCUGGCUUGGAGUGGGUUGGCUUGCUGAUGGCUGCUGGAGGGGACGCUGGCUAAAGUGGGGAGGCCUUGGCCCACCUGAGGCCCCAGGUGGAAACAUGGUCACCCCCACUCUGCAUACCCUCAUCAAAAACACUCUCACUAUGCUGCUAUGGACGACCUCCAGCUCUCAGUUACAAGUGGAGGCGACUGGAGGCCGGACUCCUGGGUCCCUGGGAAAGAGGGUACUAGGGGCCCGGAUCCAGGAUUCUGGGAGGCUUCAGUUACCGCUGGCCGAGCUGAAGAACUGGGUAUGAGGCUGGGGCGGGGCAGGAGGUGGCGCCCCCUGGUGGGACAACAAAGGGGACACCAUUUUUCCAGAGCUGCAGAGAGCACCUGGUGGGGAGGAAGAAGUGUAACUCACCAGCCUCUGCUCUUAUCUUUGUAAUAAAUGUUAAAGCCAGAA
RNA transcript from Pan troglodytes (chimpanzee), 2395 nucleotides. It is a transcript of the gene named potassium calcium-activated channel subfamily N member 4, with no coding region annotated. NCBI's taxonomy places the organism in Eukaryota, Metazoa, Chordata, Mammalia, Primates, Hominidae. The transcript is spliced from 9 exons. The record is from RefSeq and is a predicted model, not a curated record.